GUGGGGAAUAUUGCGCAAUGGGGGAAACCCUGACGCAGCAACGCCGCGUGAGUGAUGAAGGCUUUCGAGUCGUAAAACUCUGUCUUUGGGGACGAAUAAUGACGGUACCCAAGGAGGAAGCCCCGGCUAACUACGUGCCAGCAGCCGCGGUAAUACGUAGGGGGCAAGCGUUGUCCGGAAUCACUGGGCGUAAAGGGCGCGUAGGCGGUUUGUUAAGUCAGGUGUGAAAGUUUUCAGCUUAACUGGAAAAGUGCACUUGAAACUAACUUACUUGAGUACUGGAGAGGUAAGCGGAAUUCCUAGUGUAGCGGUGAAAUGCGUAGAUAUUAGGAAGAACACCGGUGGCGAAGGCGGCUUACUGGACAGAGACUGACGCUGAGGCGCGAAAGCGUGGGGAGCGAACAGGAUUAGAUACCCUGGUAGUCC
This 426-nucleotide ribosomal RNA is filed under the name uncultured bacterium. RNAcentral's name for it is "partial 16S ribosomal RNA". It matches the Rfam family "Bacterial small subunit ribosomal RNA", at positions 354 to 796 of the family's 1533-position model. The record is from RNAcentral.